This 474-nucleotide long non-coding RNA is filed under the name Cyanistes caeruleus (blue tit). RNAcentral describes it as "lncRNA (ENSCCEG00000008659.1)". The record is from RNAcentral. Lineage: Eukaryota; Metazoa; Chordata; Aves; Passeriformes; Paridae.
AUUUCUAAAAACUGCAAUACAGUAUAGAGCAAUAAAAUAGGAACAAGAUUUGAACAACUCACGCACCAACUUUCUUGAGUAACACUAAGCAGUUAACUGCAUACCAACAAGUAAUCAGAAGUCCUGAGCCAAGACACGAGUCCCAUUUGGACUGAAGUUCCUGCUCUGGUUAGUCCUGUUUUGUGAGAUCACAGACUUUUUCUGAGAACCUUACAAAUGAGCAGUCCCUGGGAGACUGGUGGGUGGGGUGAGAUGUUCUUGGUCCAAAACUCUCUGGUGUUAGUAUCUAAAAAUGACCCCCAUGGCAGGGACUGGAAGGACACAGCUGCACCCAGGGCUGCCCAGGGAAGCUCCUCUUUGCCUUGGGGCCUGCAGAGAGUGGUCCCAGCUCAGGAUCCUGAGUGGAAAUGUUACUGCCUAGUCAGCUUCCCCCAUUCUGCAAUUCUUUCAUGGAGUACUGAUCAAGAAAUAUGA